This 231-nucleotide ribosomal RNA is filed under the name uncultured bacterium. Its description in RNAcentral is "partial 16S ribosomal RNA". It matches the Rfam family "Bacterial small subunit ribosomal RNA", at positions 100 to 334 of the family's 1533-position model. The record is from RNAcentral.
CGGGACGGGUGAGUAAUGUCUGGGAAACUGCCUGAUGGAGGGGGAUAACUACUGGAAACGGUAGCUAAUACCGCAUAACGUCGCAAGACCAAAGAGGGGGACCUUCGGGCCUCUUGCCAUCGGAUGUGCCCAGAUGGGAUAGCUAGUAGGUGGGGUAACGGCUCACCUAGGCGACGAUCCCUAGCUGGCUGAGAGGAUGACCAGCCACACUGGAACUGAGACACGGUCCAG